UACAUGUGGGGCAAGCGUUGUUCGGAAUUACUGGGCAUAAAGGGCGCGUAGGCGGCCUUGUCAGUCAGGCGUGAAAGCCCCGGGCUCAACCUGGGAACGGCGCUUGGGACGGCGAGGCUGGAGUUCGGGAGAGGAGAGUGGAAUUCCCAGUGUAGAGGUGAAAUUCGUAGAUAUUGGGAAGAACACCGGUGGCGAAGGCGGCUCUCUGGACCGACACUGACGCUGAGGCGCGAAAGCGUGGGGAGCAAACAGG
This 253-nucleotide ribosomal RNA is filed under the name uncultured bacterium. Its description in RNAcentral is "partial 16S ribosomal RNA". It matches the Rfam family "Bacterial small subunit ribosomal RNA", at positions 524 to 776 of the family's 1533-position model. The record is from RNAcentral.